This 946-nucleotide ribosomal RNA is filed under the name uncultured prokaryote. Its description in RNAcentral is "bacterial SSU rRNA". It matches the Rfam family "Bacterial small subunit ribosomal RNA", at positions 43 to 971 of the family's 1533-position model. The record is from RNAcentral.
CGUGCCCUAAUACAUGCAGUCGAGCGGAUCGAUGGGAGCUUGCUCCCUGAGAUCAGCGGCGGACGGGUGAGUAACACGUGGGUAACCUGCCUGUAAGACUGGGAUAACUCCGGGAAACCGGGGCUAAUACCGGAUAACACCUACCCCCGCAUGGGGGAAGGUUGAAAGGUGGCUUCGGCUAUCACUUACAGAUGGACCCGCGGCGCAUUAGCUAGUUGGUGAGGUAAUGGCUCACCAAGGCGACGAUGCGUAGCCGACCUGAGAGGGUGAUCGGCCACACUGGGACUGAGACACGGCCCAGACUCCUACGGGAGGCAGCAGUAGGGAAUCUUCCGCAAUGGACGAAAGUCUGACGGAGCAACGCCGCGUGAGUGAAGAAGGUUUUCGGAUCGUAAAACUCUGUUGUUAGGGAAGAACAAGUGCCGUUCGAAUAGGGCGGCGCCUUGACGGUACCUAACCAGAAAGCCACGGCUAACUACGUGCCAGCAGCCGCGGUAAUACGUAGGUGGCAAGCGUUGUCCGGAAUUAUUGGGCGUAAAGCGCGCGCAGGUGGUUUCUUAAGUCUGAUGUGAAAGCCCACGGCUCAACCGUGGAGGGUCAUUGGAAACUGGGGAACUUGAGUGCAGAAGAGGAAAGUGGAAUUCCAAGUGUAGCGGUGAAAUGCGUAGAUAUUUGGAGGAACACCAGUGGCGAAGGCGACUUUCUGGUCUGUAACUGACACUGAGGCGCGAAAGCGUGGGGGAGCAAACAGGAUUAGAUACCCUGGUAGUCCACGCCGUAAACGAUGAGUGCUAAGUGUUAGAGGGUUUCCGCCCUUUAGUGCUGCAGCUAACGCAUUAAGCACUCCGCCUGGGGAGUACGGUCGCAAGACUGAACUCAAAGGAAUUGACGGGGGCCCGCACAAGCGGUGGAGCAUGUGUUUAAUUCGAAGGCACGCGAAGAACCC